UCUAUGGAGAGUUUGAUCCUGGCUCAGGACGAACGCUGGCGGCGUGCCUAAUACAUGCAAGUCGAGCGGAGUUUUGAAAAGCUUGCUUUUCAAAACUUAGCGGCGGACGGGUGAGUAACACGUGGGCAACCUGCCCUUGAGACGGGGAUAACUCCGGGAAACCGGAGCUAAUACCGGAUAACACAUAUCUUCGCAUGAGGAUAUGUUAGAAGGUGGCUUUUAGCUACCACUCAAGGAUGGGCCCGCGGCGCAUUAGCUAGUU
Molecule: ribosomal RNA, 262 nt
Filed under: Priestia endophytica
Lineage: Bacteria; Bacillati; Bacillota; Bacilli; Caryophanales; Bacillaceae
Description: Bacillus endophyticus partial 16S ribosomal RNA
Rfam family: Bacterial small subunit ribosomal RNA
Source: RNAcentral